ACAGUCCAUCUCAUAGAAUUUGAGCUUGAAAAAAGAUUUUUUGAAAAAAGAAAACAGAAUUAUAGUCAAACAAAAAGUGGUUUUUUUUGCAAUUUAGAACUACUAGAAGGGCAAGCGGCUUUCUUGUUAGUCGCAGAGAGGGCUUUGAAGAUUGUCUUUAGGAAUGGCUAACUACAAAUAGAACAAAAAGCAAAUUCUAAAUAUGCCUCAUCGAACUUGAUAACUUCUUAUGCAGAUUUAACUAAUACCCAAGAAGUGCUUCAGCACUUUGUGUCCGUUAAUUGUGAAGCUUGUAAUAAAAUGGUAACACAGUUGCUUCCUGUUGUAGUAAAUCCCUAUUUAUUUCCUGAAUGACUGGAAAAAAAAGUGGAAAUGACACAAAAGUUAACUUUCGUGUGUCAUAACAGGUUUUGAAGUUAGAAACUAGAAGAUAUUUUGUUGGGGAACCCACAUCACUUCAAACAAUAGGUUUCAAAAACCUUUAGACGAAUAAACAAUGAAUUAAACUACUCUUGCCUCAAUAGUAGGAUCUAUCCAAUAAAAAGAGAGGCGUUUGAUAUAAUCAAAUGAAAAGAAGAAAUCACUCUGUCCUUGUGUUGGUUCUGAUUCUUUCUUCCUCUUUUUUCCCUCUUUAUGUCAAUGUUUUUUGACAUUGUUGCUUAAUUUUUGUCUUUUAAUUAAUAUAUCUAUCCAAUAUAUGGUCUUUACCUUCCUUUCCAGGAUGAUUAAUAAAUCUUAGUCUACAUCUACAUCUUGCUUUAAUUAACUAACUUCUUAAGCGGCUAAUUGUCUUCUUGAGAUAAACAAUCCUGACUAUUUUAUGCCACCACUGAAUUUGCUGGAGGAAUAUUACGAAUUCAAGACGAAUGACUUUUAACACUUAGAUCAAGCAAACUUAGUUUUUAAAGUUUCAAUAGAUUUGAAGGACGAAUUUCAUGGAGCAGUAGUAAAUUGAUUCAUUGGAAGCGCUAGAGCUGCUAGAUCAAAUAUAUACUGUGCAUCAAAGAGUGCCAAAGACAAAAGCAGAAGUCAUACUAACAAGUGGAACUUUUUUUUUUUCUUUAACAACCUAAAUCUAAUGGGUUGGAGUAGGUUAAACUCAAAUAGACUAUUCUGCAAGUUAGUAGCUUUCAUCCUGUUAGGGCUGAUUAGGAUGUAGUCAUGUUACUAUUACUUAUUUUGUCAAAUGUGGGAGCCCUAAUAAUGGUAAACUGUGGCAACAAGGUGAACCAACAAAGUCAACAACAACUAAAAGGGGAGUCGAAAUAAAGGAAAGCAAACUCAAAGAACAUGGAAGCGAUUUGUUUCGAGGUAGCCAAGUUAUCAGCCCCCUACUCUGCUCAGUGUAAAGUCCAACUGCACUUGCUUCUUUGUAUAGCUCUCACCCGUAUCUGGGGAUAGUCAUUGUCCUACAGCAGUGAAGCAACUGGUGCACCAUGGCUGAUAAUCCGGUACCCUACUUCGUCCUCCAACAUCGUUUUCUUGUUAGGGUUCACAUCCAGCAGCUCAGCCGGCUCAAACCUAGCUCGAUUCAUGCGUUUGACUUAGUCUUAACUGUCUAUUUGAUGAACGGUCCAGUAACUCUACUUCGACGCCUGCCGUCAGUCAUUCUAACUGUUUUAUGUUGUGAUUUAAUAAAAGAAGUUUUUGUGCCAUUAA
Molecule: long non-coding RNA, 1659 nt
Organism: Ananas comosus (pineapple)
Lineage: Eukaryota; Viridiplantae; Streptophyta; Magnoliopsida; Poales; Bromeliaceae
Exons: 2
Source: RefSeq, a predicted model, not a curated record